RNAcentral lists this small RNA (80 nucleotides) under Flavobacterium sp. A45. RNAcentral's name for it is "Flavo-1 RNA". It matches the Rfam family "Flavo-1 RNA". The record is from Rfam by way of RNAcentral. Lineage: Bacteria; Pseudomonadati; Bacteroidota; Flavobacteriia; Flavobacteriales; Flavobacteriaceae.
UUUUAGCCCCGAUAGAAGCGAAAAUCCUUUGUGGGCUGGGGUUCAGCCCACAAAGAUUGCAGCGUAUAGCGGGACAGUAC